RNAcentral lists this ribosomal RNA (934 nucleotides) under Escherichia coli. Its description in RNAcentral is "partial 23S ribosomal RNA". It matches the Rfam family "Bacterial large subunit ribosomal RNA", at positions 217 to 1191 of the family's 2925-position model. Lineage: Bacteria; Pseudomonadati; Pseudomonadota; Gammaproteobacteria; Enterobacterales; Enterobacteriaceae. The record is from RNAcentral.
AAAAGAAAUCAACCGAGAUUCCCCCAGUAGCGGCGAGCGAACGGGGAGGAGCCCAGAGCCUGAAUCAGUGUGUGUGUUAGUGGAAGCGUCUGGAAAGGCGCGCGAUACAGGGUGACAGCCCCGUACACAAAAAUGCACAUGCUGUGAGCUCGAUGAGUAGGGCGGGACACGUGGUAUCCUGUCUGAAUAUGGGGGGACCAUCCUCCAAGGCUAAAUACUCCUGACUGACCGAUAGUGAACCAGUACCGUGAGGGAAAGGCGAAAAGAACCCCGGCGAGGGGAGUGAAAAAGAACCUGAAACCGUGUACGUACAAGCAGUGGGAGCACGCUUAGGCGUGUGACUGCGUACCUUUUGUAUAAUGGGUCAGCGACUUAUAUUCUGUAGCAAGGUUAACCGAAUAGGGGAGCCGAAGGGAAACCGAGUCUUAACUGGGCGUUAAGUUGCAGGGUAUAGACCCGAAACCCGGUGAUCUAGCCAUGGGCAGGUUGAAGGUUGGGUAACACUAACUGGAGGACCGAACCGACUAAUGUUGAAAAAUUAGCGGAUGACUUGUGGCUGGGGGUGAAAGGCCAAUCAAACCGGGAGAUAGCUGGUUCUCCCCGAAAGCUAUUUAGGUAGCGCCUCGUGAAUUCAUCUCCGGGGGUAGAGCACUGUUUCGGCAAGGGGGUCAUCCCGACUUACCAACCCGAUGCAAACUGCGAAUACCGGAGAAUGUUAUCACGGGAGACACACGGCGGGUGCUAACGUCCGUCGUGAAGAGGGAAACAACCCAGACCGCCAGCUAAGGUCCCAAAGUCAUGGUUAAGUGGGAAACGAUGUGGGAAGGCCCAGACAGCCAGGAUGUUGGCUUAGAAGCAGCCAUCAUUUAAAGAAAGCGUAAUAGCUCACUGGUCGAGUCGGCCUGCGCGGAAGAUGUAACGGGGCUAAACCAUG